GAUGAACGCUGGCGGCGUGCCUAAUACAUGCAAGUCGAGCGAACAGACGAGGAGCUUGCUCCUCUGACGUUAGCGGCGGACGGGUGAGUAACACGUGGAUAACCUACCUAUAAGACUGGGAUAACUUCGGGAAACCGGAGCUAAUACCGGAUAAUAUAUUGAACCGCAUGGUUCAAUAGUGAAAGACGGUUUUGCUGUCACUUAUAGAUGGAUCCGCGCCGCAUUAGCUAGUUGGUAAGGUAACGGCUUGCCAAGGCAACGAUGCGUAGCCGACCUGAGAGGGUGUACGGCCACUCUGGGAGUGAGACACGGUACAGAGUCCGAGGGGAGGCAGCAGUAGGGAAGGUUGGGAAAAGGGCGGAAGCCUGACGGAGCAACGCCGCGUGAGUGAUGAAGGGCUGCGGAUCGUAAGACUCUGUUAGUAGUGAAGAACAAAUGUGUAAGUAACUAUGCACGUUUUGACGGUACCUAAUCAGAAAGCAACGGCUAACUACGUG
This 497-nucleotide ribosomal RNA is filed under the name uncultured bacterium. Its description in RNAcentral is "partial 16S ribosomal RNA". It matches the Rfam family "Bacterial small subunit ribosomal RNA", at positions 28 to 507 of the family's 1533-position model. The record is from RNAcentral.